Molecule: long non-coding RNA, 2326 nt
Organism: Etheostoma cragini (Arkansas darter)
Lineage: Eukaryota; Metazoa; Chordata; Actinopteri; Perciformes; Percidae
Exons: 3
Source: RefSeq, a predicted model, not a curated record
CUUCCAAAGUGAAUUUUGCCGGAGCUCCUGAGAAAAAAAAACACACAAAACGGGUUUUGGUAAAAUACUUUGCUUCCUCGCACUAAUUGCUGAUUGCUGAAAGAGACUGUGUCCCAAGACAAGACAUGGAGAUCUCCUCCUGAUCACCAGCAGUCUAUCCUGUGUGAUGUGUGUUUGCGUGUGUGUGUAUGUGUGAUUUCUGUAAGAAAGGACCAAAUACAUACUGAAACUGCACAUGGUGUUAUUCUUCAGCUGUUACUGCCAAACCCUGUAGUGCAGUGAAUAUCAACCUUUUUGAGUCGCGGCCCAUCAGAAUAAUCCGAUUGGUGUUCCAGGAUGUCCUGAUGUAGAAAUUAAACACUAAAUAUAACACAUGAAAGGUACUCAACUCACACAGUAAUGUAGAAACCAUUUUUAAUUUAACCAUUAUGAUUAUGUAUUUUGUCCCAUACAACCAUUAAGCAGCCCCAGGAAAUGAUCUUGUGUCCCCCAGGUUGAGAAUAACUGCUCUAGUGGAUCACGAGAGGCCUCUAAAUAAAACCUACUGCGCUCCUUUGACAGGGUCCUUACACAUUUUCCAGUUUUAAUUUCUGUAUUUAUUCUGGUGAUUUAGUUAGUGUUAAGUCAAUGGUUAUUAAAUCCACUGCUGGCCGAUAUUAAGUCUCUAUAGAACUGUGUGUAUCAUGGCUGAAUGACAGUAUUCCUACAUACUCGUAUUACCAAAGCAGAGAGCAGUAACUACAGAAAGUUGGAUAAAGUUAGCUUGAAGUUCGCAUGCAGCAAACUGUUUCUUUUAGCUUUCUUGUCCAUUGACACAGAUGACCUAGUCCACUUAAUUAAUCUAUGAUUCAGUUCAUUUGAAAAUGUGAUUAAGUGUUAGCUUUACCACAUAAAAUCAUGUCAAAUGUCUUUAGUUUUGGAGGCUGAGACAAGAGUCAUAGAUACCUAACUAGCUAAGAGGCUAGUUAGCGUUUAGCCAGAUAAGUUUAACUGGUGUUUUCUUGCUUUCUCCAGUAUGAUCAGAUUUAGCUGCUGCCUUAGUAAUUUGGUACAAUAAACUCAAUUGCUAUGAUGUUAAAGAUUUUCAAAAGCUGAUUUUAAAUGCGGGGAAACACAUGGGAAAAUAUGGGUGAAUUUGCAUACAUCAGCUAGCUAGCGUGGACUCAGGUUGUUUUUUUGUGAUUUCUAGGGCAUAAUGAUUUUGUAGCUGGUUAAACAGAAUUCAAGUAGUCAAAUUGUGGUGUUAACUCAGUUUUGACCCAUGUAGCGUCUGCAGUUUUGCUUUGUCAGGCAGCAUAGUAAGUCUGAGCUUUCCAAGAAAAUCCUACAGUUAUCCUACAGUUAAACCCUGCUUGUAUCUGUAAAUCAACCCAGGCAGAGUAGCUGUUACAUCCAGAUUCAAAUAGAACAAUGUUGAUCCAAACUAACAACAGCUUCAGUAUAUCAGUCAGCGAUUUGCUCAGAAGUAGCAGCUGGGAUUCUGGUUUCAGUAUUGAUUCCUUUAGGCAUUUGUAGCCUUAAAUGGUGUUUUAGUUUCCUCUGUUCAUGAAAGCAUGCUCCCCUCUGGCAAGGAAACAUUUUCUUACUUCUUUUUUUGAUUUGAUUUUGAUUCUUCAAAUGAAAAGGUUACUCACUGAGUGUUCACUUUCUCUAACCUUUAGUAGCAGUGCAACACUUUUAUUGCUGCAGUACGACUCAUCUGAUGGAAUUAAGCACCUUGUAAUUUCUAAUUCAUGUGACAUGACAUGUACUUUGUGAAACCAUCUACUGCUAAAAGACGUGUGUGUAUGUGUGUGUGUUUUUAAAUCCAAAUGAUGCAUUAAGUUCUCAUUCUGUUCUCCAUGCACAGUACUGUUCACUUCUGCUGUCGUAGUGUAUGUAAACUGCACACAUGCUGCAGUUAACCAUAAACAUCAUUCAAUCUUUUAAAUGUGAGGUCAACAACGCUACUAUUUAUUAAUUGUUUCAUUGAGUUUACAUUUUUGCUGUUGUGUCUUCCUUAACGAUCAGAGAUUUUGAACUCAUUUUCAUCUAAUGCCUGACAAUGGAUUGCACAAAAUAUAUGGGAUUAAAUUCUGAAUAAUCAGAAGUGUAUUAUCAGUGCCUAUAUAAAAAAUUCUGAACUUCUGGUAGUGACUGUAGAAUCACUACAUGAUGAAGGCAGACUGUCCCUUAUUACAAAUGUCAGGAGUAUCCUUUCAAUUUAUUGAGAAACACUUGCUGCUGUGGUUUGGAUAUUGGAGGUACGUUAGCAUUAGCAAUGCUAAAGUCAAUGGGACUAAAAUGAUUGCACUGAAAACAUCUAAUUUAUCGCAACUUUAAAUCC